Molecule: ribosomal RNA, 467 nt
Filed under: uncultured Alphaproteobacteria bacterium
Lineage: Bacteria; Pseudomonadati; Pseudomonadota; Alphaproteobacteria
Description: bacterial SSU rRNA
Rfam family: Bacterial small subunit ribosomal RNA
Source: RNAcentral
GAGUUUGAUUGUGGCUCAGAGCGAACGCUGGCGGCAGGCCUAACACAUGCAAGUCGAACGAACCCUUCGGGGUUAGUGGCGGACGGGUGAGUAACACGUGGGAACGUGCCUUUAGGUUCGGAAUAACUCAGGGAAACUUGUGCUAAUACCGAAUGUGCCCUUCGGGGGAAAGAUUUAUUCGCCUUUAGAGCGGCCCGCGUCUGAUUAGCUAGUUGGUGAGGUAAAGGCUCACCAAGGCUACGAUCAGUAGCUGGUCUGAGAGGAUGACCAGCCACAUUGGGACUGAGACACGGCCCAAACUCCUACGGGAGGCAGCAGUGGGGAAUCUUGCGCAAUGGGCGAAAGCCUGACGCAGCCAUGCCGCGUGGAUGAUGAAGGUCUUAGGAUUGUAAAAUCCUUUCACCGGUGAAGAUAAUGACUGUAGCCGGAGAAGAAGCCCCGGCUAACUUCGUGCCAGCCGCCGCGGU